UGCGCGGACUGGGGGAGUUCGGCGCGGCGCAGGCCGUCUGGUACGCGGUCGUGGUGUUCGUCGUCGUGGUCGUGUCGCGCUUCGUGUGG
RNAcentral lists this transfer RNA (89 nucleotides) under Streptomyces hygroscopicus. Its description in RNAcentral is "tRNA-Thr". Lineage: Bacteria; Bacillati; Actinomycetota; Actinomycetes; Kitasatosporales; Streptomycetaceae. The record is from RNAcentral.